UGGUCCUGUGGAAAUGUUUCCUC
Molecule: non-coding RNA, 23 nt
Filed under: Rattus norvegicus (Norway rat)
Lineage: Eukaryota; Metazoa; Chordata; Mammalia; Rodentia; Muridae
Source: RNAcentral